UGGGGAAUAUUGGACAAUGGGGGGAACCCUGAUCCAGCCAUGCCGCGUGUGUGAAGAAGGCCUUAUGGUUGUAAAGCACUUUAAGCGAGGAGGAGGCUACUGAGACUAAUACUCUUGGAUAGUGGACGUUACUCGCAGAAUAAGCACCGGCUAACUCUGUGCCAGCAGCCGCGGUAAUACAGAGGGUGCGAGCGUUAAUCGGAUUUACUGGGCGUAAAGCGUGCGUAGGCGGCUUUUUAAGUCGGAUGUGAAAUCCCCGAGCUUAACUUGGGAAUUGCAUUUGAUACUGGGAAGCUAGAGUAUGGGAGAGGAUGGUAGAAUUCCAGGUGUAGCGGUGAGAUGCGUAGAGAUCUGGAGGAAUACCGAUGGCGAAGGCAGCCAUCUGGCCUAAUACUGACGCUGAGGUACGAAAGCAUGGGGAGCAAACAGGAUUAGAUACCCUGGUAGUCCAUGCCGUAAACGAUGUCUACUAGCCGUUGGGGCCUUUGAGGCUUUAGUGGCGCAGCUAACGCGAUAAGUAGACCGCCUGGGGAGUACGGUCGCAAGACUAAAACUCAAAGGAAUUGAC
Molecule: ribosomal RNA, 568 nt
Filed under: uncultured bacterium
Lineage: Bacteria
Description: partial 16S ribosomal RNA
Rfam family: Bacterial small subunit ribosomal RNA
Source: RNAcentral